This is a long non-coding RNA of Stylophora pistillata, 350 nucleotides long. RefSeq lists it as uncharacterized. Lineage: Eukaryota; Metazoa; Cnidaria; Anthozoa; Scleractinia; Pocilloporidae. The record is from RefSeq and is a predicted model, not a curated record.
UGUAGUUCUCCACUGUGAGGCAAUUUCCGUACAGUUCACCGUUCGAGCCAAAAAAAAGGCAGAUUGGGUGCAUAUUGAAUGUAGGCUUGAGUCCUUAGAGAAUUCGUGUCCUCGACCUGGCUCAAACAUCGCAAGUACACCAUGUGCGUGGGUGUAGUCGACCUUACAUUGUAAAUAUCAGCAUAUACCUAAACAGAGCGACGGUCUUGCUUACGGGCAACUGAAGAACGCAUCCAACCGGAAGUUCAGGAACAAUUCAUCAUCCGUGGGUCAACGCUCUGUACGAAGUGAUGACAAGUGUUUGUGUGUGAGGGAAGGGGAGGGGGGGAGGGAGGGGGAAUCGGACGCCG